RNAcentral lists this unclassified non-coding RNA (332 nucleotides) under soil metagenome. RNAcentral describes it as "partial contains 5.8S ribosomal RNA, internal transcribed spacer 2, and large subunit ribosomal RNA". The stretch from base 1 to 120 matches the Rfam family "5.8S ribosomal RNA", at positions 35 to 154 of the family's 154-position model. The record is from RNAcentral.
GAUGAAGAACGUAGCGAAAUGCGAUACGUAAUGUGAAUUGCAGAUUUCAGUGAAUCAUCGAAUCUUUGAACGCACAUUGCGCCCGCUAGUAUUCUGGCGGGCAUGCCUGUUCGAGCGUCAUUUCAACCAUCAAGCCCUAGGCUUGCGUUGGAGCCCUGCGGCUGCCGCAGGCUCCCAAAUCCAGUGGCGGGCUCGUCGUCGUACCGAGUGCAGUAAACAUCCUCGCUCAGGGAACGUGACGGGUUCUUGCCGUGAAACCCCCCACAUAUCAAGGUUGACCUCGGAUCAGGUAGGAAUACCCGCUGAACUUAAGCAUAUCAAUAAGCGGAGGU